GAUGAACGCUGGCGGCGUGCCUAAUACAUGCAAGUCGAGCGAACAGAUGAGGAGCUUGCUCCUCUGACGUUAGCGGCGGACGGGUGAGUAACACGUGGAUAACCUACCUAUAAGACUGGGAUAACUUCGGGAAACCGGAGCUAAUACCGGAUAAUAUAUUGAACCGCAUGGUUCAAUAGUGAAAGACGGUUUUGCUGUCACUUAUAGAUGGAUCCGCGCCGCAUUAGCUAGUUGGUAAGGUAACGGCUUACCAAGGCAACGAUGCGUAGCCGACCUGAGAGGGGGACCGGCCAAACGGGAGCUGAGACCCGGUCCAGACUCCUACGGGAGGCAGAGUAGGGAAUCUUCCGCAAUGGGCGAAAGCCUGACGGAGCAACGCCGCGUGAGUGAUGAAGGUCUUCGGAUCGUAAAACUCUGUUAUUAGGGAAGAACAAAUGUGUAAGUAACUAUGCACGUCUUGACGGUACCUAAUCAGAAAGCCACGGCUAACUACGUG
This 496-nucleotide ribosomal RNA is filed under the name uncultured bacterium. RNAcentral's name for it is "partial 16S ribosomal RNA". It matches the Rfam family "Bacterial small subunit ribosomal RNA", at positions 28 to 507 of the family's 1533-position model. The record is from RNAcentral.